GCCCCCCUGGCGGAAUUGGUAGACGCGCGGGAUUCAAAAUCCCGUUCCUAACGGAGUGCCGGUUCGAUUCCGGCGGGGGGCA
This 82-nucleotide transfer RNA is filed under the name Ahrensia sp. R2A130. It matches the Rfam family "tRNA". Rfam says of the family: Transfer RNA (tRNA) molecules are approximately 80 nucleotides in length. Their secondary structure includes four short double-helical elements and three loops (D, anti-codon, and T loops). Further hydrogen bonds mediate the characteristic L-shaped molecular structure. tRNAs have two regions of fundamental functional importance: the anti-codon, which is responsible for specific mRNA codon recognition, and the 3' end, to which the tRNAs corresponding amino acid is attached (by aminoacyl-tRNA synthetases). tRNAs cope with the degeneracy of the genetic code in two manners: having more than one tRNA (with a specific anti-codon) for a particular amino acid; and 'wobble' base-pairing, i.e. permitting non-standard base-pairing at the 3rd anti-codon position. The record is from Rfam by way of RNAcentral. Lineage: Bacteria; Pseudomonadati; Pseudomonadota; Alphaproteobacteria; Hyphomicrobiales; Ahrensiaceae.